GACGAACGCUGGCGGCGUGCCUAAUACAUGCAAGUCGAACGCUGAGGGAGGAGCUUUCUUCCCCGGAUGAUUUGCGCACGGGUGAGUAACACGUAGGGAACAUGUCUGUUAGAGGCGGAGAUCACUUGGAAAAGAUAGCUAAUAUCGCGUAAUAUUAGAUGUUGCAUGACAUUCGCUAAUAAGAUGCAAUUGUAUUGUUACCAGUAGGUCGUGCGUUGUAAUAACUAGUUGGUGGGGUUACGGCUCACCAAAGCGACGAUUCUGAGUCGACCUGAGAGGGUGGUCCGCCAACCUGGGACUGGAGCCCGGCCCAGGAUUCUACGGGGAGCAGCAGUAGGGGAACCUCGGCAAUGGACGGAAGUCUGAACGGGCCACGCCGCGUGAGUGGAGAAGGUUUUCGGGUCGUAAAGCUCUGUUGUAAGAGAAGAACGAGUGUGAGAGUGGAAAGUUCACGCUGUGACGGUACCUUACCAGAAAGGGACGGCUAACUACGUG
This 495-nucleotide ribosomal RNA is filed under the name uncultured bacterium. RNAcentral describes it as "partial 16S ribosomal RNA". It matches the Rfam family "Bacterial small subunit ribosomal RNA", at positions 28 to 507 of the family's 1533-position model. The record is from RNAcentral.